RNAcentral lists this long non-coding RNA (2511 nucleotides) under Cyanistes caeruleus (blue tit). RNAcentral describes it as "lncRNA (ENSCCEG00000007171.1)". Lineage: Eukaryota; Metazoa; Chordata; Aves; Passeriformes; Paridae. The record is from RNAcentral.
AUGCCGGGAAUCCCGCGGGAAACCCAGGGGGAAACCACGGGAAUCCCCCGGGAAACCCAGGGGGAAACCACGGGAAUCCCACGGGAAUUCCAGGGGGAAACCACGGGAAUCCCAGGGGGAAACCACGGGAAUCCUGCAGGAAACACAUGGGAAUUCCAGGAAACCCCUGGGAAAUCCCGGGAAUCCCCCGGGAAUUCCAGGGGGAAAGCACGGGAAUCCUGCGGGAAUCCCAUGGGAAUUAUGGGAAUCCCCUGGGAAACCACGGGAAUCCCCCGGGAAUCCCCUGGGAAUUCCGGGAAUCCCCCAGCACCCUCAGAAAUCCCUGGGAAUACCGGGAAUCCCACAGGAAUUCCAUGGGAAACCCCUGGGAAUUCCGGGAAUCCCUCGGGAAUUCCAUGGGAAACCCCUGGGGAAUUCCAGGAAUCCCCUGGGAACCCCUCAGCACCAUCAGGAAUUCUGGGAAUCUCCCGGGAAUCCCUCAGCACCCCCGGGAAUCCCGGGAAUUUUCCGGGAAUCCCUCAGCACCCCCGGGAAUCCCCCGGGAAUCCUGGGAAUCCCUCAGUGUUCCCGAGAAUCCCAGGAAUUCUCCAGGAAUCCCUCAGAAUUCCUGGGAAUCCCCUGGGAAUCCCUCAGCACCCUCUGGAAUUCCGGGAACCCCCCGGGAAUCCCAGGAAUCCCCCGGGAAUCCCUCAGCACCCCCAGGAAUCCCCUGGGAAUCCCUCAGCAUUCCCAGGAAUUUUCCGGGAAUCCCUCAGCAUUCCCAGGAAUUUUCCGGGAAUCCCUCAGCAUUCCCAGGAAUUUUCCGGGAAUCUCUCAGCAUUCCCAGGAAUUCCAGGAAUCCCCUGGGAAUCCCUCAGCAUCCCCGGGAAUUCCAGGAAUCCCCCGGGAAUCCCCCAGGAAUCCCUCAGCAUUCCCAGGAAUUCCAGGAAUCCCCCGGGAAUCCCUCAGCACCCCCGGGAAUCCCAGGAAUUUUCCGGGAAUCCCCCGGGAAUCCCUCAGCAUCCCCGGGAAUCCCUCAGCACCCCUGGGAAUCCCAGGAAUUUUCCGGGAAUCCCCCGGGAAUCCCUCAGCAUUCCCAGGAAUCCCCCGGGAAUCCCCCGGGAAUCCCUCAGCACCCCCGGGAAUCCCUCAGCACCCCUGGGAAUCCCAGGAAUUUUCCGGGAAUCCCCCGGGAAUCCCUCAGCACCCCCGGGAAUCCCAGGAAUUCUCGAGGAAUCCCUCAGCAUUCCCGGGAAUCCCCCGGGAAUCCCUCAGCAUCCCCGGGAAUCCCUCAGCACCCCUGGGAAUCCCAGGAAUUUUCCGGGAAUCCCCCGGGAAUCCCUCAGCACCCCCGGGAAUCCCAGGAAUUCUCGAGGAAUCCCUCAGCAUUCCCGGGAAUCCCCCGGGAAUCCCUCAGCAUCCCCGGGAAUCCCUCAGCACCCCUGGGAAUCCCAGGAAUUUUCUGGGAAUCCCCUGGGAAUCCCUCAGCAUUCCCGGGAAUCCCCCAGGAAUCCCCCGGGAAUCCCUCAGCAUUCCCGGGAAUCCCCCAGGAAUCCCCCGGGAAUCCCUCAGCAUUCCCGGGAAUCCCAGGAAUUUUCUGGGAAUCCCCUGGGAAUCCCUCAGCAUUCCCGGGAAUCCCUCAGCAUUCCCAGGAAUCCCCCAGGAAUCCCUCAGCAUUCCCGGGAAUCCCCUCUCCGCCUCCCAGUCCCGCUGGAAUCCGCCCCAGAAUCCACCUGGAGCGUCCCGGGGAGCCCUGCCCGCCCCAGCAGGGAUGAGCCCAUCCGGGAAUUCCCGGGAAUUCCCAGGGAUUCCCCCGGGGUUCCCCCGGCGAAUUUCCCCCCAAAUUCCCGCCGGGAUCCCGGGGCAGCGGGAAGCGAUCCCGGAAUUCCCGGAUCCCCCAAUAAAAUCAGAUCUGGGAAGAAAAGAGCCUCGGAAUUUUGGGAAUUUUGGGGAUUUUGGGGAUUUUUUUUAGGGGAGGAUCCGGCGGGAUUUGAGGGCUCCGGGAAUGACCCAAACACCCAAAAAAAAUAAAAACAAAAUCAGUGGGAAAAGAAGGGAUUUAUUCAGGGGGGAUCCCAAAAACUCCGGAUCCCGGGAGGGUUCAGGGCGGAUCCCGGAUCCUGGGAGGGUUCAGGGUGGAUCCCAGAUCCCGGGAGGAUCCCGGGAGGAGCAGGGGUUGAUCCUGGGCGGAUCCCAAAACUCCGGAUCCUGGGAGGAGCAGGGGUUGGUUCAGGGUGGAUCCCGGAUCCAGGGAGGAUCCCAGAUCCCAGGAGGAUCCCGGGAGGAGCAGGGGUUGAUCCAGGGAGGAUCCCAAAACCCCCAGAUCCUGGGAGGAGCAGGGGCUGGUUCAGGGAGGAUCCCGGAUCCAGGGAGGAUCCAGGGUGGAUCCCAGAUCCCAGGAGGAUCCCGGGAGGAGCAGGGGUUGAUCCAGGGAGGAUCCAGGGUGGAUCCCAGAUCCCAGGAGGAUCCCAGGAGGGUCCCGGGAGGAGCAGGGGCUGGUUCAGGGAGGAUCCCGGAUCCAGGGAGGAUCCA